This 937-nucleotide long non-coding RNA is filed under the name Anas zonorhyncha (Eastern spot-billed duck). Its description in RNAcentral is "lncRNA (ENSAZOG00000000483.1)". Lineage: Eukaryota; Metazoa; Chordata; Aves; Anseriformes; Anatidae. The record is from RNAcentral.
UAAGAAGCUACAGACUGAAAUUUCCUUGUGCUUUUGCUUUGCAUUGCAGGGACACAGUUACACCUGCAUGCCUCCACAUGGCUGAGGCCUUCAAGUACACAGGUGAUUGCCUGUUACAGCUGUUUUGCAAAAACAGUGCUAAAUAAUACUGAGAAGAAAGGAGCCAAACAAGGAACAGAAAGCAACGGCUGCAGAAAAGCGAGAAAACAGAAAUGCAGCCAUCAGAAGCAGAACUCGGUUGUGGAGACUCACUUUAGACACCAGCUCCUCUGGCUGCUGCUCACCUGGGUCAUCUGCCACAGCCCCAGACCUGGCUGUAAGGUCCUUGGCACUCUCUGUCUGAGAAUUUGGGUAGACUGGAAAACAGGACAGGUCAUCAUCCCAUCCCCGUAGCUGAACCUGGAGAAUGGGGCCGGUGGGGUACGUGGAGUAGAUAGGUAGACGGCAUCACAGACGAACCCCCUAAUCACCAGUCCCAAAUAUUAUGUCACAACCCCCUAAUGAGGAUUAUCCAGAUGAGUCCCAGGUAAUCAUAGACUGCUGUUAACAUUAAAGUGAUUCCUGGGACUGAAACUCACUGUACCAAAUGAACUAAAAUGGCUGGUAUUAAUAAACUGACAAAUGCAAAUAAAAGAACACUUCUUUAAUCUCCUUCCAUUAAGGAAAGGGCAUGUGGUUUGAAUUAUGAUCAUAUAAACCACUGACUUCAGGCACUUUUUAAAGGGUUGUAGUCUGCAAAACUCAUUAGAAAAUUUAUGCUAUCAAAUAUUUGAAUAAAAUAUAAUGGGAAUAAAGAGUUAAAUACUGCCUUAAAAAAAAAAAAAAAAAAAAAAAAAAAAAAAAAAGGUUUUCUUUUAAUUUUUAAAAGGGAAAUUACACAAAANNNNNNNNNNNNNNNNNNNNNNNNNNNNNNNNAAUCUUCCUAAAAAAAAAAAAA